This 24-nucleotide small RNA is filed under the name Arabidopsis thaliana (thale cress). Lineage: Eukaryota; Viridiplantae; Streptophyta; Magnoliopsida; Brassicales; Brassicaceae. The record is from RNAcentral.
CAACGUAGGUCGGUAACAGAUUUG